GCCAACAAGGUGCGCAUCAGGAGGACCCCACGCAAGAAAACCAUAUCUGUUAUUCUUAAGAAUUAUGUGACCUAAGGGCAGCGGAUAUUUUGUAAAGGGGCAGUACAAUCUAUCUAUUAUAAAUAAGUAGAAAUAACCUAAGUACGAAGGAAUUGUCUAGAGCGUGACUGCUACUGCCUCCUCGCUUGGAUUAGUUUCUUUGUACUGAUCCAUUUCUUCUCUUGAAUUCACCAUACUCUCCCAUUUCUUCUUCCUCCUCUUUUGGUCUCUACUUCUUAUUAUAGUUGUUUGUAUUGUUUGGAAUUCAUUUUGAGGUUGCAGUUUGGUCCAUUUUUGGUGCUUUCGUUGCUCUAACUCUCCUCCACCAUGGUUGAUGGUACUCGAUUGGCAAACUUAGAUCUGUAAGUGGCUAUGCUUCAGGAUGAUUUUCAACUACAAUCUCAAGCUCUUGCUCAACAAACUAAAUCCCUAGACUCCAAAUCUACAGUUUCUAUUCAGUAUCAAACAAUGGUUGAUAUGAAGCAUAAAACGGAAGCUGUUAGUACUCAACUCAUUCAACUUGGGCAGUUAAUUAAAGGUAAGGCCACGCUAUCAAACGAUAGCCUCCCGAUGGAACCAAGGUUUUGACUGAUUCCAGAACAACAUUCAAGUGUGACCAUACAUCUCCUUCCAACCACUGCCAUCCAUCGCACCUUGAGUACGAUUCUGAUAGGGAAGAGUUUCCGUUCAAGCCCAAACCCGCUCAAGUGGAACUGACUAAAUUUAAUGGUACUGAUACUAUCAUACUAAUACUAAUAUUAUCAUACUAUUCCACAUACAUAUAAACUAAUACUAUCUUGUACCAUUUUAUUCAAGCCUAAAACAAUAGUAGCAGAAAAGAUAACCAAAUAGGAGGAUUCUGGCAGUUCGAUUUACUUACUUUAAAGGGCGGCCGUUGUACUUAAGAACCAACUGCUCGGCGAUUGAUUUACUUCGACCAUAGGGAUCAACGUG
This 993-nucleotide long non-coding RNA is filed under the name Gossypium barbadense (sea-island cotton). Its description in RNAcentral is "long non-coding RNA (GBAR_LNC000282)". The record is from RNAcentral. Lineage: Eukaryota; Viridiplantae; Streptophyta; Magnoliopsida; Malvales; Malvaceae.